RNAcentral lists this non-coding RNA (23 nucleotides) under Arabidopsis thaliana (thale cress). The record is from RNAcentral. Lineage: Eukaryota; Viridiplantae; Streptophyta; Magnoliopsida; Brassicales; Brassicaceae.
CCCGACCCGAAUACCCACAUGCC